RNAcentral lists this ribosomal RNA (267 nucleotides) under uncultured archaeon. RNAcentral describes it as "partial 16S ribosomal RNA". It matches the Rfam family "Archaeal small subunit ribosomal RNA", at positions 748 to 1013 of the family's 1478-position model. The record is from RNAcentral.
CAGCCGUAAACUAUGCGCGUUAGGUGUAUCGGUGACCACGAGUCACCGAGGUGCCGAAGGGAAACCGUGAAACGUGCCGCCUGGGAAGUACGGUCGCAAGGCUGAAACUUAAAGGAAUUGGCGGGGGAGGCACCACAACAGGUGGAGCCUGCGGUUUAAUUUGGACUCAACGCCGGGAAGCUCACCGGAUAGGACAGCAGAAUGAUUGCCGGGCUGAAGACCCUGCAUGACUAGCUGAGAGGAGGUGCAUGGCGUAGACGUCUGAGA